This 363-nucleotide unclassified non-coding RNA is filed under the name uncultured bacterium. RNAcentral describes it as "contains 16S-23S intergenic spacer region". The record is from RNAcentral.
UCCCCGUUACCGGGGCAGUCUGAUUAGAAAAAUCCAACUAAUCAUAAGGGUUGCGCUCGUUGAUGGACUUAACCAAACAUCUCACGACACGAGCUGACGACGGCCAUGCAACACCUGUCACUUGGCUCCCAAGGGCACUCACUGCUUUCACAGUAAUUCCAAGGAUGUCAAGCCCUGGUAAGGUUCUUCGCUUACCAUCGAAUUAAACAACACGCUCCACCGCUUGUGCGGCUCCCCGUCAAUUCCUUUGAGUUUUAGUCUUGCGACCGUACUCCCCAGGCGGGAUGCUUAACGCGUUAGCUUCGCUACUGACCGGGUCGAUACGGCCAACAGCUAGCAUCCAUAGUUUACGGCGUGGACUAC